RNAcentral lists this ribosomal RNA (499 nucleotides) under uncultured Glomeromycotina. RNAcentral's name for it is "partial small subunit ribosomal RNA". It matches the Rfam family "Eukaryotic small subunit ribosomal RNA", at positions 591 to 1092 of the family's 1831-position model. The record is from RNAcentral. Lineage: Eukaryota; Fungi; Glomeromycota.
CCAAUAGCGUAUAUUAAAGUUGUUGCAGUUAAAAAGCUCGUAGUUGAAUUUCGGGAUUAGUACGUUGGUCGUGCCUUGGUACGUACUGGUGUAACUGAUUCCUCCCUUCUGACGAACCGUUAUGCCAUUAAUUUGGUGUGGCGGGAAAUCAGGACUGUUACUUUGAAAAAAUUAGAGUGUUUAAAGCAGGCUUGCGCUUGAAUACAUUAGCAUGGAAUAAUGAAAUAGGACGUUUGAUUCUAUUUUGUUGGUUUCUAGGAUCGACGUAAUGAUUAAUAGGGAUAGUUGGGGGCAUUAGUAUUCAAUUGUCAGAGGUGAAAUUCUUGGAUUUAUUGAAGACUAACUACUGCGAAAGCAUUUGCCAAGGAUGUUUUCAUUAAUCAAGAACGAAAGUUAGGGGAUCGAAGACGAUCAGAUACCGUCGUAGUCUUAACCAUAAACUAUGCCGACUAGGGAUCGGAUGAUGUUAAUUUUUUAAUGACUCAUUCGGCGCCUUACG